AGCAGCCGCGGUAAUUCCAGCUCCAAUAGCGUAUAUUAAAGUUGCUGCAGUUAAAAAGCUCGUAGUUGAAUUUCGGGACUAAUAUGUCGGUCGUGCCUCGGUACGUACUGGUUUAUUGGUUUCUCCUUUCUGAAGAACCAUGAUGUCAUUUAUUUGGUGUCGUGGGGAAUCAGGACUGUUACUUUGAAAAAUUAGAGUGUUUAAAGCAAGCUAACGCUUGAAUACAUUAGCAUGGAAUAAUGAAAUAGGACGUUCGAUCCUAUUUUGUUGGUUUCUAGGAUUGACGUAAUGAUUAAUAGGGAUAGGUUGGGGGCA
Molecule: ribosomal RNA, 315 nt
Filed under: uncultured Glomus
Lineage: Eukaryota; Fungi; Glomeromycota; Glomeromycetes; Glomerales; Glomeraceae
Description: SSU rRNA
Rfam family: Eukaryotic small subunit ribosomal RNA
Source: RNAcentral